This 301-nucleotide ribosomal RNA is filed under the name uncultured Isochrysis. RNAcentral's name for it is "partial Bacterial large subunit ribosomal RNA". It matches the Rfam family "Bacterial large subunit ribosomal RNA", at positions 176 to 477 of the family's 2925-position model. Lineage: Eukaryota; Haptophyta; Isochrysidales. The record is from RNAcentral.
GAGGCAAACCCGGGGAACUGAAACAUCUAAGUACCCGGAGGAGGAGAAAACAAAAGUGAUUCCGAUAGUAGCGGCGAGCGAAAUCGGAUUAGUCCAAACCGUACAUGUUCCGGCAUGUGCGGGGUUGUAGGACCACGACAUUCGAGAUGUGAUGAACUAGAACGCUUUGGAAAUAGCGGCCAUAGAGGGUGAUAGUCCCGUAUAGGUAAAGAGCAUUUAGAUAGUGGUAUCCUGAGUAGUGCGGGGCACGUGAAACCCUGUAUGAAUCCGGCGGGACCAUCCGCCAAGACUAAAUACUCCU